AGCAGCCGCGGUAAUUCCAGCUCCAAUAGCGUAUAUUAAAGUUGUUGCAGUUAAAAAGCUCGUAGUUGAAUUUCGGGGUCAGUAAGUUGGUCGUGCCACUGGUAUGUACUGGCUUCACUGAUUCCUCCCUCUUGUAGAACCGUAAUGCCAUUAAUUUGGUGUUGCGGGGAAACAGGACUGUUACUUUGAAAAAAUUAGAGUGUUUAAAGCAGGCUAACGCUUGAAUACAUUAGCAUGGAAUAAUGAAAUAGGACGAUCGAUCCUAUUUUGUUGGUUUCUAGGAUUGACGUAAUGAUUAAUAGGGAUAGUUGGGGGCAUUAGUAUUCAAUUGUCAGAGGUGAAAUUCUUGGAUUUAUUGAAGACUAACUACUGCGAAAGCAUUUGCCAAGGAUGUUUUCAUUAAUCAAGAACGAAAGUUAGGGGAUCGAAGACGAUCAGAUACCGUCGUAGUCUUAACCAUAAACUAUGCCGACUAGGGAUCGGAUGAUGUUAAUUUUUAAUGACUCAUUCGGCGCCUUAC
RNAcentral lists this ribosomal RNA (520 nucleotides) under uncultured Glomeromycotina. Its description in RNAcentral is "SSU rRNA". It matches the Rfam family "Eukaryotic small subunit ribosomal RNA", at positions 569 to 1091 of the family's 1831-position model. Lineage: Eukaryota; Fungi; Glomeromycota. The record is from RNAcentral.